GUAGGUGGCAAGCGUUGUCCGGAAUUAUUGGGCGUAAAGCGCGCGCAGGCGGUUCUUUAAGUCUGAUGUGAAAGCCCACGGCUCAACCGUGGAGGGUCAUUGGAAACUGGAGAACUUGAGUACAGAAGAGGAAAGCGGAAUUCCACGUGUAGCGGUGAAAUGCGUAGAGAUGUGGAGGAACACCAGUGGCGAAGGCGGCUUUCUGGUCUGUAACUGACGCUGAGGCGCGAAAGCGUGGGGUAGCAAACAGGGAUUAGAUACCCUGGUAGUCCACGCCGUAAACGAUGAGUGCUAAGUGUUAGGGGGUUUCCGCCCCCUUAGUGCUGCAGCUAACGCAUUAAGCACUCCGCCUGGGGUAGUACGGCCGCAAGGCUG
RNAcentral lists this ribosomal RNA (375 nucleotides) under uncultured organism. Its description in RNAcentral is "partial 16S ribosomal RNA". It matches the Rfam family "Bacterial small subunit ribosomal RNA", at positions 527 to 896 of the family's 1533-position model. The record is from RNAcentral.